UGGAGAUGGAGUGACUGUCCCCCGAGUACUUCGGAGGAAAGUCCCGACUCCAAUACCGAAACUGCAACGCAGUUUCUGGGCUUCCAGAAAAUCUGCAGCAGAUUUUCGGUAAUUGCAGCAGGUGUUAACACCUGUAACCUGAGAGGGUUAAGGCUAACCAUAACCCAGAGUAAUAUCUUGGGAUAGGAAGGCCUGAGGAUCGCAGAAACGACACGGCUUCCGUGUAAAAAGGAUGAUGACACAAGUCAGACGUUUACGGAAGCAGCGCUGAAACGAGAUCCAGGCGCAUGGAGCAAGCCUAAAAUGGUGCAAUCCAGGCCUCGGAGAGUUAAUGGUUUUAACCCAUCUAUCUCUCUUGAGGUGUGGUAUAGUGAAAUACAGUCGUAGAAACAGAAUCGGGCUUACUCCCAUCUCCA
RNAcentral lists this RNase P RNA (416 nucleotides) under Candidatus Nanohaloarchaea archaeon. RNAcentral describes it as "Nanohaloarchaea archaeon RNase P RNA component". It matches the Rfam family "Archaeal RNase P". From Rfam's summary of the family: Ribonuclease P (RNase P) is a ubiquitous endoribonuclease, found in archaea, bacteria and eukarya as well as chloroplasts and mitochondria. The record is from RNAcentral. Lineage: Archaea; Methanobacteriati; Methanobacteriota; Candidatus Nanohaloarchaea.